AUACGGAGGAGGCAAGCGUUGUUCGGAAUCAUUGGGCUUAAAGCGCGUGUAGGCGGACCGGUAAGUGUCUUGUGAAAGCCCUCGGCUCAACCGAGGAAUUGCUGGGCAUACUGCCGGUCUUGAGGCAGGUAGGGGCGGGUGGAACUCUAGGUGGAGCGGUGAAAUGCGUAGAUAUCUAGAGGAACGCCGGUGGCGAAAGCGACCCGCUGGGCCUGUUCUGACGCUGAGACGCGAAAGCGUAGGGAGCGAACGGGAUUAGAAACCCCAGUAGUCC
This 274-nucleotide ribosomal RNA is filed under the name uncultured bacterium. RNAcentral's name for it is "partial 16S ribosomal RNA". It matches the Rfam family "Bacterial small subunit ribosomal RNA", at positions 523 to 796 of the family's 1533-position model. The record is from RNAcentral.